Scophthalmus maximus (turbot) is the source of this 3682-nucleotide RNA transcript. It is a transcript of the gene named nucleosome assembly protein 1-like 4a, with no coding region annotated. The record is from RefSeq and is a predicted model, not a curated record. The transcript is spliced from 16 exons. NCBI's taxonomy places the organism in Eukaryota, Metazoa, Chordata, Actinopteri, Pleuronectiformes, Scophthalmidae.
GUUGUCUCGGUAUUUUCUUGCCUGCUAGCAUGCUAGCUGGCCCGGUUAGCUGCUGUCAGAUUUUUCUUUUGGCACCGCCCAUACUGGGUGGUAAUCAGUCUGUACAUCCCCGAGGAAGGAGUUGCCACUUGGUAAUGGACGCCAGCAAAGGUAAAGGGGAUCAAGGGGUGCAAAAUCCAGGUGGGCAAAUGGACAGACCUGUCAGCUUCCACUUCUUGGAAAGCAUGCUUCCCAAAGUAGUGAAGAGGCGAGUGCAUGCCUUGAAAAGGCUACAGGUGCAGUGUGCCAGCAUAGAGGCUAAGUUCUAUGAGGAAGUCCAUGAGCUCGAGAGGAAGUACGCUGCUCUCUACCAGCCACUGUUUGACAAGAGACGAGAUAUUAUCAAAGGAACAGUGGAACCCACAGACGAGGAGUGUGAGUGGCACAGUGACAGAGAGGAAGAAGAAGAGCUAGCUGAGGAAGUGAAGGAAAAAGCUGCUAUUGAGGAUGCAAAGAAAGAGGAAGCCAAGCCAGAAGAAGACCCAAAAGGCAUUCCCGAGUUCUGGCUCACCAUAUUCAAGAGUGUGGACAUGCUCAGUGACAUGCUACAGGAGCAUGACGAGCCCAUCCUCAAGCACCUGAAAGAUAUUCAAGUCAAGUUUUCUGAGCCAGGACAGCCAAUGAGUUUCACAUUAGAGUUUCACUUUGAGUCCAAUGGCUACUUCAACAAUGCAGUCCUCACUAAAGUCUACAAGAUGAAAUCAGAGCCUGAUGCUUCAGAACCUUUCUCGUUUGAGGGGCCAGAGAUCAUUGAUUGUGAAGGCUGUCAGAUAGAUUGGCAUAAGGGGAAGGAUGUGACAGUGAAAACUAUUAAGAAGAAGCAGAAGCAUAAAGGCCGUGGCACUGUCCGCACAGUUACGAAGCAGGUCCCCAACGACUCUUUCUUCAACUUCUUUAAUCCUGUUAAAGUUUCACCAGAUGGAGAAAUGGAUGAAGACUCUGAGUUCACUCUAGCCACAGACUUUGAGAUUGGUCACUUCUUCCGCGAGAGAAUAAUUCCCAGAGCAGUGCUGUAUUUCACCGGAGAGGCCCUGGAAGAUGACGAGAGCUUUGAAGAGGAGGAGCUGGAAGAAGGAGAUGAAGAGGAGCAGGACGAGGAAGGUGAUGAUGACGAUGAUGAUGAGGGAGACUUUGACUCCAAGGUAAGGGAGAAAUAAGGACGGCGUCCCACAUUCAUUGUACACUGUCUCCAUCCGUUGGCUGUGGUUAAUUUUUUUCUGGCUGCCUCUCCUUUUCUCUACACCCUUGAUUCUCCAGUAGUCCCAGGUUUCUAACAUUGUUCCCUUCGCUGUACCAAAGCAGAAAGAACAGCCCCAGCCGGCCGAAUGCAAACCGCAGUAACCACAGUGAUCAUGGGAGGCGGAGACCUGCUGCCAGUCAAUUUAGUUCUUAUCCAAUCAGCAAGUCCUCCUACUCUUACAGGCUCAGCCCUUUUUAUGAACUCUCACCUGAACGCAAUAAAACGCAACCCAUAUUGCGUUUUUACUCUGUGCAUGACUUCUUUUUCUUUUGUCUUGCGCCCAUCUCACCCCUUUUCAUUUGGCUUCAUUCAAACUCAAAGCAGGAAGUGACUUGACUCUAACUGAAAUGCCCACGGUAUCGCACAGAGACGGGCUUCUUCUUCUUUGGUAAGGUGGAGUAAGUUACUACUGCCAAAAAAAACUCAGAACAUCAUCUGUUUAAAAAAAAAUAAAAGUUAGGAGAGGAAUGGAUCCCAACUUUAAGCUUAAAGGAAAUAAAUCAGUUACUCAGGGUUUUUUAAUGCCAACAAGAGAAGUGAUAGCUAACCAGGAAACUGCUGAACAAGGUUGACUUAAUCUUUCACUGGGGUUGCUGAAGUGUUUUGUUUUGUUUUUGUUUUUUGUUAUGGUGUUGUUUUUUUUAAGAGACAUGAAAUGUAUCAUUUUGAAUUUAAUUUACAUGUUUUAAAUGUUCAUUGUCAUGUCAUUGGACUAUUUAUUCUGGUGUCAUGCAGCUGUACGAAGUGGUGUAUUUUGGGGUCUCUAAGACGCAGCCUUUUCAUCGGCUUAAACGUUAUUUGGGCUCAGCGGGUCAACGAAACGUGAAUACUGCCUAGUACAUGUUUUUGUUUUUCAAUGAUCAAAAUACAUUUUGAAACGUCGAGGAGCUGUGUUCUCCAUUAAUACCGCUCACUUCUGCCCAGGUGUCCUGGGUUUAACAAGCAUUUAAACUGAGCACUUGAGUGGACACUGUAACACACUUAAUCAAUAUCAGACGGUUGUGUGUGGUUAUACCUCAGAUAUAACCUCAUAGAAAUCUUCCUUGUUUGCCUCAAAUGCUCUUUUAACUUGGCUAACAAACUUACACAGAUUUUAUGAAAUGAAGACGAGGACGAGAAACGUGUAGUUUGAUAAAUAUUUUAAUCCUAAGCAGUCACAGUGGUGGACACUCAACCUUUUCUCGGUUUAUAAAAUGCAGUGGUUUCCAAAAGUCUUGAGAUUACUCCCCCAGUAGGAAGGUGGUCUCCCACUAUGUGUAUUAACAAAUUUAAUUUAGAGUCAGUGAUGGGACGGGUUGCAGGAUGUCCGGAUUAAAUGUACAUUUUGUUGCCAAGAAGCCAAAAAUGAAAGACGAAACACCUCUUUUAUUAAAUUGUUUGCCAAUUGUCAUUAACACAGUGUAAUCAGCGUUUAAAGUUGUUUCAGAAAAUAUAAAUAUUUCUCAUACUGUCUGAUGAUUCAGUAGAAUGUCUGUGCAAAACGAAAUAGCAGAGGUUGCCAAUGUAUUUUAUAUACCUGCUCCUGGAUUUUGGCCGUUUCGUCGGACCCCUCUGCCUGGUGGCUGGUCAUCGAUAGCAGGAACAGCGAAAUAAUAUCUACCCCCUCUCUCUCUCUUUGUACAAAGAACGAUUGUAGAUCUUGUUGGACAGAUCUCUCAGCCACGGUUGACAACUUCAAAUCUACCACAUCGGACCGCGUAUGGCGUUGCAUUUGUGUCUCUUUCCUGAGUGAUCAACUUCAGCAACGGAGCGCUUGCAUUUCAUUUAGAAUAGAAAUGAAAUGCAAGCCAAAAAAUAAUUUCGUUUGAGCGAGUAAAGAUCUAUUCUGUGCUCAGUAAAUGUAUUUGCAUGUUUAACGUUAUCCAUAUUAACGUGCAAUAAUAACCCCUAUCAUGCAGUUUUAUUCAAAUACACGGAAACUCUGGCUCUGCACUGUCAGAGCACAUCACACUCGCAUUGUCUCCUUCUCCGUCUCAGCCUCUAAACUCUGUGCGCGCUCAAGUUUGCCUGCACGCUCGCUCAACAGGGCACGAAGUUAUAUUUGUGUCAGAAAACCAACCAACCGUAGGUCAAUCCUGAUUGGCUGUGUGGUGUCCAAUCGCAACGUUUCCACAAGAAGACGAAGGGAUGGGUUUGGGGGGCGGUGGUGGAACGAUAAACGGCAACAAUAUUGUAAACUGAACAUUAUAUUGUCGCUGUUUUUGUGACUGGAUACCUGGACUACAGUCCGCCAAACCCAUCCCACGCUCGCUCGAGAAAGAUACGCCAACGUUAACGCCAUCAACCGUGUGCUAGCAAUGGCCUUAGCUGGUUCUUAUUCACAAUUUGUUACUUGCGCAAUAUUUCUUUUCAAUUUGUACAGAGUUAGUUAAAAUAUUCUAUUAAAGUUGUGCGACAUGGAAA